RNAcentral lists this ribosomal RNA (502 nucleotides) under uncultured Glomeromycotina. Its description in RNAcentral is "SSU rRNA". It matches the Rfam family "Eukaryotic small subunit ribosomal RNA", at positions 591 to 1092 of the family's 1831-position model. The record is from RNAcentral. Lineage: Eukaryota; Fungi; Glomeromycota.
CCAAUAGCGUAUAUUAAAGUUGUUGCAGUUAAAAAGCUCGUAGUUGAAUUUCGGAAUUUGUCGGUUGGUCGGGCUUCACUGUCCGCACUGACCUGAUGGAUUCCUACCUUCUGAAUAACCAGCAUGCUAUUAAGUUAGUGCGUUGGGGAAGCAGAGCUAUUACCUUGAAAAAAUUAGAGUGCUUAAAGCAGGCUUGUGCUUGAAUAGAUUAGCAUGGAAUAAUAAAAUAGGACGGCAUGGUUCUAUUUUGUUGGUUUCUAGGAUCACCGUAAUGAUUAAUAGGGAUAGUUGGGGGCAUUAGUAUUCAAUUGUCAGAGGUGAAAUUCUUGGAUUUAUUGAAGACUAACUUCUGCGAAAGCAUUUGCCAAGGAUGUUUUCAUUAAUCAAGAACGAAAGUUAGGGGAUCGAAGACGAUCAGAUACCGUCGUAGUCUUAACCAUAAACUAUGCCGACUAGGGAUCGGACGAUGUUAAUUUUUUAAUGACUCGUUCGGCGCCUUACG